CACGUAGGGAGCAAGCGUUGUCCGGAUUUAUUGGGCGUAAAGAGCUCGUAGGUGGUUCGAUAAGUCGGGUGUGAAAACUCUGGGCUCAACUCAGAGACGCCACCUGAUACUGUCGUGACUGGAGUCUGGUAGGGGAGUGUGGAAUUCCCGGUGUAGCGGUGAAAUGCGCAGAUAUCGGGAGGAACACCAGUGGCGAAGGCGGCACUCUGGGCCAGUACUGACACUGAGGAGCGAAAGCGUGGGGAGCGAACAGG
This 254-nucleotide ribosomal RNA is filed under the name uncultured bacterium. RNAcentral describes it as "partial 16S ribosomal RNA". It matches the Rfam family "Bacterial small subunit ribosomal RNA", at positions 524 to 776 of the family's 1533-position model. The record is from RNAcentral.